AACGAACGCUGGCGGCAUGCCUAACACAUGCAAGUCGAACGAGACCUUCGGGUCUAGUGGCGCACGGGUGCGUAACGCGUGGGAACCUGCCUUUAGGUUCGGAAUAACUCAGAGAAAUUUGAGCUAAUACCGGAUGAUGUCUUCGGACCAAAGAUUUAUCGCCUUUAGAUGGGCCCGCGUGGGAUUAGCUAGUUGGUGGGGUAAAGGCCUACCAAGGCGACGAUCCAUAGCUGGUCUGAGAGGAUGAUCAGCCACACUGGGACUGAGACACGGCCCAGACUCCUACGGGUGGCAGCAGUGGGGAAUAUUGGACAAUGGGCGAAAGCCUGAUCCAGCAAUGCCGCGUGAGUGAUGAAGGCCUUAGGGUUGUAAAGCUCUUUUACCCGAGAUGAUAAUGACAGUAUCGGGAGAAUAAGCUCCGGCUAACUCCGUG
RNAcentral lists this ribosomal RNA (433 nucleotides) under uncultured bacterium. Its description in RNAcentral is "partial 16S ribosomal RNA". It matches the Rfam family "Bacterial small subunit ribosomal RNA", at positions 29 to 507 of the family's 1533-position model. The record is from RNAcentral.